UCAUCCAUCUAUUAUUUCUCCCUAACAUCAUUUCUCUUUCUGUUCUGCUCGAUAGAGAGACUGUAGCUAUCUUUUCUUCUUCACUUCCAUCACCACCACAGACCACAGAACCACUAUCCACUACUUCCAUCAGCACAACAACACCUUCUUCUUCAUCUUCUCCCUUGAUUUGGUUUGCAUACAGAAAAUCAACGAAGCCCCAAGAACCCUAUAAUAAAAAUCUGGAUUGUUUCUACUUCACAGAUUGCAAAUCAAUGUUAGAAAUCAAAGCUUUAUCCUAACCCAUUGCAGCAUUUUCUUCUUCAAAUCAUCAUUCUAGUUACGAUCUUGAGCAUCAAUUUUAUCAAGUAUAAUGUAUCGAUUUUUUUUUUUUUGGUUAAGAUUUCAAUUUCUGAGUUGGGGGGUUUUGGCUAUGGGUUAGAAUUGGGGAUUUAAAAUAGUCUUUUGUAACCGAUUGAGUGUUCGAAUGUUAGUUUAGUUGUUUAAUUUUCUUGCAUCUAUUGUUCUUGCUUGAUUUGGGAAUUUUUGAUUUGAAGGUUCAAAUAGAACUCCAACUCUACUGAUUUUGUUGAAGAGAUCUGAGAUAUGGGUUGCAAUAUAAGUAUAAUUUUAUUUUGAUCUGUAACCUUAACUGGCAGUUGAUUUUUUUGGUUUGUUUUAUCUGAGUCUUUUAGGUUGAGGAAAACAUCUACUGCAACUUCACAAAGAAGGAUUUAACCCCAUCUUCAAUUGGAAUUAGUUUCAUGAUUCUCAUGGUGUUUCUUGAGUUAACGUUGUUCUCUUGGUAUUUUUUUGUUUUUAUUCGAUUGAUAUGUCUAUGUUUGAUGUUGUUCUUGUUUGUGAGGUGGGUUUAAGUUUUUGAGUACUGGGUUUUCUUAGUUUUUAUUUGAUUGAUAUGUCAAUGUAUCAGUUGCUCACCUUGCAUAACAUUGUUUAUACAUUGGUCAACUUGACACAGGGAAUUUUUUUCUUCGCAGAGUUCACAGUUGGGCUGUUCUUGCCCACACUCAACCUGUUUAGCAGAUGCCUGUGAUCAUGUGUACCUCUUUGACAAUGACUAUGAAGCUGCUGAGGAUAUUAAUGGUCAACCAAUGCAUGAUAGAUUUCCAUAUGAUGAAGAUGGUUGAAUUAUUUUAAAGGAGAUAUACCCAGUUUAUGGGUACAACUCAAUGUCCCGCUGUGACAAGAAUUGCCGGAACAGGAUUUUACAAAAUGGGGUGAAAGUCAAAUUAGAGAUUUUUAAAACGGAGAAAAAGCUACCACUCUGGAUAUCUCAUCAUGUCGGUAAUUCUGGAUAAACCUUUUUACAUGUGUUUUUCACAGGGUUGGGCAGUCAGAGCUGGUGAAGAAAUUUCAUGUGGAACAUUUGUGUGUGAGUACAUUGGGGAAGUUCUAAAUGAUCAGGAGGCAACCAAGAGGUAUGACUAGGAGGGUUGCAGCUAUCUGUAUCACAUUAACUCUCACAUCGAUGUCAUGAGUGAACUAGUUUACAGGAAUGUUUCUCGGUUCAUUAACCAUAAUUGCUCGCCCAACCUUGUUACAUACCAAGUUUUGGUGGAUAAUAUGGAUAUGCCAACUUGCACAUAUUGGAUUAUAUGCGAAUCGUAUCCUCAAAACCCACCUUGAAAGGAACUGUCUUCAAUGUGUCAACAGAAAUUAAUGUCAGAUUCAGAUACCCCUACCCCAAAAUUGAAAGAUGCGAGAGGAUAUAAACCUUCAAGAAGCCAAAACAGGACGAGAAUACUUUAGACGUUGAACUUUUUGAGAAUCCUAGCAAUAUCCUGGAGCUUAGGUUUUGGGCUUCUUAUCGCGGAUAAACAUUUGCUAGGACUGAGUUGCUUUCACUGAUGUUGUUGAAACUCUUAAGGAGGGUAGAGUUCAUAUAGACUACUCAAAGCUUUUUAAGGCUGAUGACAAUGAGAAAGACAAGGUGCUUGCUCCUUAUAGAGCGGAGUACCAAGUUGCAGAGGAGAUAGAAUGGUACAACAUCAAUGCCAACUGCAAAAGCUUUGGCUUAUUUCAAAGUGAAGCUAAGUAUCACUGUCGCCUGCUGAAUUAGGCAUCGAGUUGAGCAUUUCUGAAAUUUACUAAAUUUACAGUCAUAUUUCAUACUAAAAUUACAGUCAUAUUUCAAACUUAGGAAGAGGUAGUGGUUAUGAAGAAACAUUGACGAGAUGUUAGAUUGCAUCUAGAUUAUCCUUUUGGAAAACAAAACUUACUUCCGAUUGUUCAUCUUAAUUAAAUUUGAUAUAGAACUUGGUUUUAAAAAUCUAAGUUCUUUUCGUGGCACCUAACUAAUGCUUGAAGUGGAAUUUAUUACUAGCAAUGACGUAGGAAAACUCAGAUAUGUGUCAUAUUCUGUACCAGGUAUACUGAUUUGGAGCUUUUAACUUAGUUGUUCUGUAUGGAGUGUAAAAUUGAUAUUAUAUGGCCAUGUAUUUAACUUAGUGAGAGAAAAUGAGUGAGAGAAGUGUUGAAAGAGGAUGCUUCUCAAGGAGAACUGUCUUGGCUUUUCAUUUCAUUCUUGCAGUGUGACCAAAUAAAUUGUCUAAAAUAGUUUUAUGGGUUUAAGGUUCUUCGUGAUUCUGGUUUUAUAUUGAUAAUUUGAUAUGAUGUAUGUGUUGGUAGGAAUUAGAUUCAAUGCCUUAAUUCAACGUUGCAGAAGAGUACAGACAGAAAACAUGGAAGCCUAAAUUCAACAUUGAGAAAGAAAAGCAGAAGGCUGAUGAAGUAGGUACAGGCAUAAUAUCUCUGAAUUCGAGAAAAGGAUAUUUGAGGUCCUUUACAAGUUUGCGAACCUUCCUUUCUUGGCUGAUUACAAGCUCAAGGUAUAUGAUAAUAUUGAGAAAGGUGAGAAACAGCUAAAUAUCACCAUUGGUAUCCUUGUUUCUGUUGCACUGGUUAUGUAGACCUCUAUAGGAUUCUUUUUGGCGGUAAGAAAGCAGUGUUAAGUUUUUAGUACUUAAAGAUAUUAUCAUUUGCCCGACUUUUUUCUCCUAAUUAUUCAAGUUUUAGCCAUAUAAUGUUUGUUAAUUUACUUUGAUAAGGUAUACACUACAUUAUCAUGGGAUGGUUUUUGAAUUCUCUUUAGUCGAGCUGUUAAUGUAGGUUUGAUGUAGGUCCACUGGUGCUGCUUUUCUCUAUUUUGUUGGUAUUGGUACAUGGUGGUUUGUGAGCCUGGUGAUGCUUAUUGUUUAAACACCUGUUGUGAUGUUUCUCGUAGUAAUGGGUUCAUCAGUAGGUAUUUGUUUCCUCAUGCUUUUCUCAAUCACUGCGCUAAUAGCAACUGGUUUAUCAGUAGGAAGAACAAAACUGUUGAGUUCUUUUGGUCAUUCAUCUUGGGGCCUCUCUGCAAUCUUACCUGCAAUACCUGUUACCGUUCUUACAUUAGGAUUCCAUGUAUAACCCAUUCUAUAUCUUGUGCUCGAGAUAUGUCAAGGUCGUGAAUUAAUGAACUAGUUACGUUUAUGCCGUUGUGUCGAUGUUGGACAGAGGCAGGUAAGGAUAUUGACAUCAUAUUGGUUAGGAUACCCACCUUUAUUGAUCACUGUCCUCUCAUGUGGAUGGCAUGGUUAUUGUUUUUAUAAGCGUUUUCUUGAGUAUUGUGACCUCCCCACAUGAAUCAGCUGAUGGCUUUUGUUGUGCAGGUACACCAUUAUGAAGUAGGAAUAAGUUGUUCAUCAUCAAUGGAGUUUAUAAUUUUGUUGUUCAAUCAAUAGUUUUUUAGUUCAUUGUUUGGUAAUCGAAUUCUAGAACCACAGAUUACACUGGUCAGAACUACAAAUUUACAUAUUUUAAUCCUUUGUGUAAUUUGAAACCAAUGAAUCAAUGAAUGUUAAAUUGAAUGAUAA
Papaver somniferum (opium poppy) is the source of this 3851-nucleotide long non-coding RNA. RefSeq lists it as uncharacterized. The record is from RefSeq and is a predicted model, not a curated record. The transcript has 10 exons. NCBI's taxonomy places the organism in Eukaryota, Viridiplantae, Streptophyta, Magnoliopsida, Ranunculales, Papaveraceae.